Molecule: unclassified non-coding RNA, 343 nt
Filed under: uncultured Blastocladiomycota
Lineage: Eukaryota; Fungi; Blastocladiomycota
Description: sequence contains ITS1
Source: RNAcentral
CAUUGCGAAAAGUCAUGCGACCUGCACUCUUUGAGAAGCAUUACUCUUUGAACGCACCUUGCGCGCACUAGACACCUAGUGCGAGGUCCUGUUUGAGCAUUGCAACCAGUUACACGUGGCUGCUUCAGUACGAGGCGGCUGAAAAGCAUGCGGGCCCGAACGACUCUAGGGCGAUUACCAAGGCAGGGCGAGCAGCGCGACAAGCUUCGCAGCACGCCCCGCGAACCGCAGGCACGUGGGUGGCGAGAGCGCAAUCACAUCCGACGAUGCGAUGGCACACUCACAGCCCACAAUCACACACACACACAAUCUCAAAUCAGGAUAGAGGACCCGCUGAACUUAA